RNAcentral lists this ribosomal RNA (187 nucleotides) under uncultured rumen bacterium. RNAcentral describes it as "partial 16S ribosomal RNA". It matches the Rfam family "Bacterial small subunit ribosomal RNA", at positions 340 to 524 of the family's 1533-position model. The record is from RNAcentral.
UACGGGAGGCAGCAGUGAGGAAUAUUGGUCAAUGGGCGAGAGCCUGAACCAGCUAAGUAGCGUGCAGGAUGACGGCCCUAUGGGUUGUAAACUGCUUUUAUGCGGGGAUAAAGUGGGGGACGUGUCCCUUUUUGCAGGUACCGCAUGAAUAAGGACCGGCUAAUUCCGUGCCAGCAGCCGCGGUAAU